ACAAUAUUUAACUACACUUGCCUUUCUAAAAACCCUUAGUUUUUUUUUUCCAUCACUUGAAAUGGCAAAUGUUAACCCAUUGAAUGAAAAGGUAUCCAUGAAUAACCCAAUGACUACAAACCCAAUGAAUAAUAUGUCAAGUGGAUCUGCUGCCAAUAGGAUGUACCCAAUGAGUAAUCCAACUACAGGCCAUCACAUCAACCCUUUGAAUGCCCAAAUCAAUCCUUUGAAUGGAUCUGCUGCCAAUAGGAUGUACCCAAUGAGUAAUCCAACUACAGGUACCCAAAUCAACCCUUUGAAUGCCCAAAUCAAUCCUCAUUCUGUGGUUAAACCAGUGAGUCAUGACAUGAUACCAGCUAGUGUGGUACCUGCUGCUCAUCAUACAACUCCGAUCAAUCCACGAACAUCAAAUCUAGCAGCUAGGCCUCCACACAGGAGAGGUGAUCAUCAUAUGUUCUUGACAUCUGAUGAUAAUGCUAUGAUGAGGCACAUUGAAGAAACUCAUAUCCCAGAUGGCCGUGACUUUGAUGUCAAGCCUCUUGUUGAUAUUAUUGAGGACAUUGUGCAUCGCGCUACUCCCAUUGCUGGACGUGUUCAUGAAGCUAAAGUUCAAGCACAUCUGGAAGCAUUGGAAGAGAAGGCUCCCCACAGUGGACUUACUGAACUACUCAACUAUUUGGCAUAUCCUAUUCAUAGAAUUAGUAUGGAGUUGAUCAGCAAAUGUGCUAACAAAGAAGAUGCACACUCAACAACAAUGUCACUGCUUCAUUCACUCACAACCUAUGCCUGGGACACGAAAGUCGCGAUAACUUUCGCGGCUUUUGCCCAGCAAUAUGGUGAAUUUGGAUUGCUUGUUCAUCAAUAUACCACAGAUCCACUGGCUAAGUCUGUUGCAAUCAUCAUGGAACUUCCAGAAAUAAUGACGCGUCAGGAUGUUCUCAAGCAGAAAUUCGAUGCAAUUCAUGAUUUGAUCGACAAAAAUGUUGGAUGUCACAAAGUGCAUUAUCGAGUUUAGAGACGUUCAAACGUCUCACAAUCAACAUGUUAUCAUCACACAAGAAUUGGAAAUGUUGAUCAAUACUGCCCAUAUUUCCACUGCUGCUUACUGGACUAUGAGGGCUGCUGUCAUGUGUGCAGCUAUGAUUCUGAAUCUCAUUGCCAUUGGUCAUGAGCAAAUUUCUUCAACAUCUGAGGCUUGGGAGUUAUCUAGUUUGACUCACAAGCUUGCAAACAUAUUGGAUCAUCUCAGAAAGGUUCUUGACCUUUGUCACCAAAAGAUUGAGGAGAAGAGGCAACAUGAUGCAUUUGAAGCACUUCUACGACUUCUCAGGACACCUCACAUUGAUAACAUGAAGAUACUCUCAAUCUUGAUUCACUCCAGGGAUGAUCAACUCCCACUUUUUGAUGGAACUCAUAAGAGAAGGGUAGGUCUUGAUGUUCUAAGGAGGAAGCAUGUUCUACUAUUGAUCUCUGACCUAGACAUUGCACCCGAAGAACUCUUUAUCCUCCACCACAUGUAUGCUGAAUCCAAGACACAACCAAACAGGCCAGAGAGCAACUAUGAGGUUGUCUGGAUCCCUGUGGUUGACAAGAGGCUAUCACCAUGGACUGAAGCAAAACAAAUGAAAUUUGAAGAAGUACAAGCUUCAAUGCCAUGGUACUCAGUGGCACAUCCUUCGAUGAUCGAUCCAGCAGUGAUAAGGUGCAUUAAAGAAGUGUGGGGAUUCAAGAAAAAGCCUCAGCUUGUUGUUCUUGAUCCACAAGGCAAAGAAGCAAAUAACAAUGCUUACCAUAUGUUAUGGAUCUGGGGAAGUUUGGCUUUUCCUUUUACCAAAGCUAGGGAAGAAGCUCUAUGGAAGGAACAAACUUGGAAUAUUGAACUCUUAGCUGAUUCCAUUGAUCAAAACAUUUUCACUUGGAUUAGUGAAGGCAAAUGCAUAUGCUUGUACGGAGGAGAAGAUAUUGAAUGGAUCAGAUCAUUCACCUCUGCAACGCGGGCUGUUGCCAAUGCAGCCCGUGUUCCACUAGAGAUGCUCUAUGUGGGAAAGAAAAACCCAAAAGAAAGAGUCCGGAAGAACAGCUCAAUAAUCCAAAUGGAAAACUUGAGCCAUGUGGUGCAAGACCAAACUCUGAUUUGGUUCUUUUGGGAAAGGCUAGAAAGCAUGUGGCACUCCAGGACUCAACAAGACAUCCCAGGUGAAACUGAUCCCAUCCUUCAGGAGAUUGUGACGAUUCUGAGCUAUGAUGGAAGUGAUCUUGGAUGGGCUGUAUUCAGCCGCGGAUUGGCUGAAAUGACUAGAGGUAAAGGUGAUCUGAUAGUGCAAGUUAUGAAGGGAUUUGAUCGUUGGAGAGAUGAAGUGAGUGACGUUACUACAUUUGUUCCUGCAUUGGAUCGUCAACUUCGUGAUCUUCAUAGUCCUCAUCAUUGCACUCGACUAAUUCUGCCGAGUACCACUGGACAUAUUCCUGAGAGAGUGGUUUGUGCUGAAUGUAGCCGUCCAAUGGAGAAGUUUAUCAUGUACCGCUGCUGCAUUGAGUGAUGAUUUAUGGUUGAUGAAAUUCGUAUGAGUAUGGAAUGGUGCCGCUCCUAGAGGACUAUAUAUUUGAAUAAAAGGACCACUUCUAGUCCUCUUGUGAGUCUUUUAAGUAUUAUUAAUUAUUGUGCUUACUUUUGACUUUUUGAUAUUCAUGUACUUGUUUUGAUAUUUGAGUGUGUGAUGAUUCUAUAGGCUAUAUAGCCUUAUGCAAUAUUUAGUGAAAAUCAAUAAAAACCAUUUCCACAUUGAUGGAGUAA
Solanum tuberosum (potato) is the source of this 2794-nucleotide RNA transcript. It is a transcript of the gene named protein SIEVE ELEMENT OCCLUSION B-like, with no coding region annotated. The record is from RefSeq and is a predicted model, not a curated record. NCBI's taxonomy places the organism in Eukaryota, Viridiplantae, Streptophyta, Magnoliopsida, Solanales, Solanaceae. The transcript is spliced from 8 exons.